RNAcentral lists this ribosomal RNA (484 nucleotides) under uncultured bacterium. Its description in RNAcentral is "partial 16S ribosomal RNA". It matches the Rfam family "Bacterial small subunit ribosomal RNA", at positions 30 to 507 of the family's 1533-position model. The record is from RNAcentral.
AUUGAACGCUGGCGGCAGGCCUAACACAUGCAAGUCGAGCGGAUGAAGGGAGCUUGCUCCUGGAUUCAGCGGCGGACGGGUGAGUAAUGCCUAGGAAUCUGCCUGGUAGUGGGGGAUAACGUCCGGAAACGGGCGCUAAUACCGCAUACGUCCUGAGGGAGAAAGUGGGGGAUCUUCGGACCUCACGCUAUCAGAUGAGCCUAGGUCGGAUUAGCUAGUUGGUGGGGUAAAGGCCUACCAAGGCGACGAUCCGUAACUGGUCUGAGAGGAUGAUCAGUCACACUGGAACUGAGACACGGUCCAGACUCCUACGGGAGGCAGCAGUGGGGAAUAUUGGACAAUGGGCGAAAGCCUGAUCCAGCCAUGCCGCGUGUGUGAAGAAGGUCUUCGGAUUGUAAAGCACUUUAAGUUGGGAGGAAGGGCAGUAAGUUAAUACCUUGCUGUUUUGACGUUACCAACAGAAUAAGCACCGGCGAACUUCGUG